UUACUUUCACGGCAUGUGGAUGUAAAAUAAUUAGUAAUCGUUUUCAAAACGUAUAAAUACUUGGAGGUGGACUAAGAUGUGAACGAAAAGUUAAUUAAUGAUAAAGGAAUUAAGAAGUGUUACCAUGAUUGAAAUAAGUAUGGACUAGAGGUUGAAUAACCUCAUAUAAAGGAAGGGGUUCAUGUUAGAACUCGUGUUUAAUAUGAGCACGUGUUUUAAAUACGUUUAAAUAUAGAUGUUACAGGUGGAAAGAUGGAAGGCGUGUGCGAGUUGCAUAGGUGGUAUGCAACGGGACUCAAACGAGCAUGGAUGAAUGCUCUACUUGAUCGUACACGUAAGUAAAUUCUAAAUGUGAAAUCCAUUUAAUGGACACCUUUAGUUUAAUGAUAGUUGAAUAAUAGAAUAACUCAUUGCUUAAGCUUAAAGGCGCAAACAAGUGGGAUGGUGAUUAAACUAUUAGGGUAAUAUCCUAGUGUAGAGUAUAAUUCGGUUUCGAGGACGAAACCUGUUUAAGGGGGGUAGACUUGUAACAUCCCGAUUUUUUCGUGGUAUUAAAAUAUAUAUAAUCUUUCAAGUAAGUUUGUAUUGGUGGAAAUAGUAUUUUAUCACACCCCAAAAAUACUAAAUUUCAGUUAUCAUGUUUCAUUAUGAUAUUAACAUGAAGUAUUGUAACUAGGUAUAUUGAACCUAGUAAAAAUAUUAGUUAUCUAUUAGUGAAAAUAGUGCUUUGACCAAACUAGAUAACUAACCAAAACAUAAGGGCCAAAAGUGAAUAUGCUAGAACCUUAGAUAAAUAAAAACAAAAAAAAAAAAAAGGGAAAAAGAAAAGGGCGUGACCAGGAGGUCACCCCUAUGCGACGCAGGAUAAGGAAGAAGGAGAAGGAGACUGAUUUCACACGAGGAUCACGAAAUUAGAGGGUUGAAGUCUCGAUUAUGUCUUCUUUGCUUGAUUCUAAGGCUCUAAUAGGUGGCAUAAUGUUUGGAUGGCAACGGGUCCAACGGGUGAUAAAGCAACAACAUUCCUACGGGCAAAGGUGAGUGACUCGAGUAUGUUUGGAGUCGCAUUGAUUUAAAUAGUCUUAUUGUUGGCUUAAAUUUCUUCUAGUUAAGGUGGUUUAAUGAAACUUAUCGAAUAUGGUUUAACUUAACAAUAACGUAUUGUUUUAGCGAUAUUUUGGGGGGUUUAACCCAUCAAGAACGAGUACACAAUGUUAAUGGGUCGAGAUACCCAAAUGCUGAAAACUCAGCUUAUUUCCAUAUUUUUGCUAGUCUUUAAAAAUUCAUAGAAAAUCAACCGAAUGUCCGUUCGGGGCGUAUUUUAUAUCCAUGAAAAGGUCUCGGAGUCACCGUUAAUAAGAAUUUUAGUUUGAAGUGAAAUACUCAAUAUAAAUAUGGGAAAAUACUGAAUUACUACAGCUGCAUAAAGCUGAGUGAAAAACAUAAAUUUUAUAGUAUUUGCAUAAUCUUAGGGAAUUUAUAAGGAAUCAAUGGGAUAUGAUUAUGUUGUUGUUUUAAACCUCUUUGUAGCUAUAUAUAUUACACGAGUUGAGGUGAGUGAUUCCUUGAAUAUGGAUGUGUAUGCUAAAUUAAAAAGUCAUGGGUGUUGUAACCUACAUGUGCAAAAACAUGUGUUCAUUUAGUAGUGCUUAUGAAUGAAUGACACUUGUGUCGUAAAAACUAUAUAACGUAUUGGAGUAUGUUAUGUAUACAUGUAUGAAUUAUUAAGAGUAUGUUAGAUAAUAAUGAUUGUUGAUAAUCGUAUAUAUUGUCUAAUGAAUUACAACAUAGAUAUGUGGCAGUUUACCAUUUUAUUUAUAUUGCCCGAAUCAAUUCGAUAAUGGUUUACUUUGAAGUUUUUCUUGAUUCUAUAUUAGCAGGGAUAUACAUGAGAUAUAAGAAAAGAGCAUCCAUAUUAGAAUGGAGAAAGUCACAAAAUGCGUGACUCGAGAUAAUGAAGUGGUGGCUCGAUAUUGUUUUGUUAGGCAUUAUGAGCAUUGAAUACUCCGUUAUGUUUGGUACAAAAUCAUAUUAUGAGUACUCACUUAACAAAAGCUAAUAUUUUGGUGUUUUCAAUGUAGGUGAUAAGUCAUGAAAAUCAACGGGGUGUCUUGAACCAGAAUCAUGAAAGAAGAAAACAUCUCACAAAUUCUGGUGGGAGGAAGGCGAAAGUGAUCAAGUUUUUGAAGCGGGUCAACGAUGUGAAGAUUUAGUGAUGCCUUGUUCAAUAAGUAAUAUAGGUAUCCUUAUUGGAUCAAAUUGACUUAGUUAUUUGCAUUUUAGCGUUUAACUUCAAUGUUUAUUUUAGCCAAGUGCUAGUAUGUCAAUGUAGUAGUGGGUUAUAUUUGUUUUAUAAAAACCUUGGUUAAUAAGCAGGUAUUGUUUUCGUAA
Molecule: long non-coding RNA, 2388 nt
Organism: Helianthus annuus (common sunflower)
Lineage: Eukaryota; Viridiplantae; Streptophyta; Magnoliopsida; Asterales; Asteraceae
Exons: 3
Source: RefSeq, a predicted model, not a curated record